UUGGGGGCCCGGCCCCUUCCCUCCCACCCAGAGCCCCCUCCCUCUUGACUUUGCCUAGCAGAGAAGAGCUAUAAACCAGCCUUCCUUCUGGGAGUGAUUUAAAAUUCACUAUGAACGGUUGACUCACAGUCUAAAAAUGUGCCCAGGGCAUAGUUGUGGCGACCGAGCCUGGUUCGUGGACCCAGCCCGAAGCCUCGCUCGGCCUGGGCCUUUCUGCGGGCCUGUCCCGAGCACACGGCCGCCCGCGCCUUCCUGCCCACCCGCCGCCCUCGCCGUUCCCUUCCCGCCUUCGGCCGUGGGGUUUGGCCCGAGAUGCGGUGGAGAGGAUGGAGGGAGGAAGCCUCCCAUCUGGAGAGGAAUCAGUGUCCAGACGAGAAAGGAAAUUGCUCCGAGAUGAUGGAAAUGGGAGCCAAGCUGGACGGCCAAGUUAGAUAGAGGGGGGCGGGGGCGGGGGGCACGACCCAGCGGGGCUCUGGGCCCCUGACACGCGGCUGGGGACAGGGCGUGAGGGGCACCGAGGAGCCCGGCUGGCGGACAUCCUGGGUCAGCUGGAGGGGUGGGCACGGACGGGCCCCUGGGGACGGGGUGGUCCUUCCAGAGACGAGAGGGGAGGCCAAGGCGAAGGGACCAAGGCCGACGACGAGGACCGACCUCCGGCCCCAUGCAGGGGCCACCCCGAGCCCUCCGAGCGCCGCCUUCGCCCAGGGGUCCUGCAGGCCCGUCAGCUGAUGGGGAGACAGAGGGGGAGGCAGGAGGAGGUUGGAAGGGGCACCCGUUCCCCCAUGGGUGCACGGAGUGUUCUGGCAAGGAGGGGCGUCCAGCCGCUCGGGGGGCGUGGCGAUGACGGGAAGGUGGCGGGUCCCCUGGAAGACACAGAGGGAGCUGAGUCCUGCGGGCCGGGCGGAGAGAGCCAGGUCUGGGGGCGGGGGUGGGGCGGCUGCUCCAGGUGACCCUGGUGGGCAGAGGCGCUCUGGGGUAGAGGGGCGCCGGGGGGCUCAGGUGGUGGACAGAGAAAUAGACAGUGGUGGGAGACGAGCGUUUAGGGUCGAGGGGGUUAAGAUGAGACGUGGGGGCAGGAGCAGCCAGGCCCUGCUCAGAUGAGGCCGGCGGAGCGGGGGCUGGUGGCGGGGAGGGGACCAGCCGGCUCCCCGCUCCUUGGGCCUCAGAAGAGUUUGGGCCAGACCCCGCCUUGACUGCAACCCUGCCCCUGGGGUUCAGUUCUCCCCCUGCUCUGCCCCUCCUCAGCCUGCAGUGAGGAUCAAAUGGGGCAACUUGUGUGAUAACAGUUAAGUGGUCACAGUGUCGCGUGUGUGCGGGGCUGAAGCGGCUCCCAGUGGCGUGGGCCGCCGGGUCCGCCUUGCGGAGCCGUCUGUGAGAAGGGGCAUCGCCUGGCAGGAGCCCAGGACUGAGCUGUGAGGAUGCUGUCCCGCCGCAGACAAACUGCAGCUGGACCAACGCCCCGCGGAGCAGGGCGUCGCCUCGGGUGGGUCCAGGGAGUCCCAGGUGAGCCCACCCAUCCGGCGCCCUCCCGUCCACUCGGAGGCUGACCUCCCCUGCUCUCCCGUCAGCCCCCUGGAGCCAACUGAGCGGCACACAAGGUGACAUCCGCUGGCUCUGCUGGGACGAGCUGCGCAGACAGCACGGCACACGUGACGUGUGACCUCUGUCUUCUGAGGACAAGCUGAGGAAUGUGCUCUGGGGCAGGAUCGAGGGUCACUGGGCAGGCGGCGAGGUCCGGGCCGGGCAUCUGGAGAGCAGACGCGAAGGGUGAGCUCACUGUCACGCUGGGCCAGCAGCUCCCCACGAGGCCACAGGAGCUGGCCGGGCGGGGUGCGGAUCCAGGCGGGGCCGAGUCAGCCAGAGAAGCCCAGAGGGUCUGUGGUCCGCAGGCCACGCGUCUGGCCAUGGGCGGUGUGCCCAGGGGCGGCAGAGGCUCCCACACAGGGCCUGGGUCCUCGGACGCUCUGGGCGCGAGAAAACUGGGGCCUCAGGAAGGCUGCUGAGUGUGUCAGGUGUGUCAGGCAGAGACGGAGACCCAGGGCUGGUGCCGUCAUCUCAAUUUCCACGGCUGCCCCGUGUGGGCUGUGGCAGUCGCUGGGCCAGCGUUUCCCUGGUGUGAAUCUGUCCCUCGGUGGUCACCGUCACACAGCUGCUGCUCUCCGGGCCAGCAGCGGUUAACACCGCCCGGGCGAGGGGCGGCCGUGUGGCACACUCCUGUGGAAAUGCGUUCGAAGGCGGUGGAGACAGUAGUCGUGGGGUCACAGGACCUCUGGCUCAGCGGCGGAACUGGUCGUGGGGGGACCUUUUGGAACCCGCCGAUGAAUUACCGAGUUCUGGAAGGAGGCGCUGAGCGCCCGCUGGGACAGCAGGUGAGGCCAGCCCGUUCGUCUGCAGGUGGGAGCGCGAGAUUGGAGCAGGCUCCCGGGUCCCAGGGCGCUGGCUCCCCGCGUGGCUCUGAGGCCGAAGACAUAAGCGGCAGAGCUCUCGCCGAGCCCGACUGCCAUCUCCGUGACCGUCUCUGGGACGUGCUCUGCCUGGUCUCACAAGGCGAAACCAGAAGCCCGUGCAGGCGGGCUGCCGGUCCCCCCGGAGCACCCUCUGGGGGCCGGGCCCACCACAGGGACUUAGGGUCUCAGGAACAAGCCCGGCAAAGUCCACGUUCUCUGGGGGUCCUGCCCACCCACCGGGAAGGGUAAGUGGCCUUGUUCCGUCAGGUGCCAGGGGCAGGGGCUGGAGUGGGGGCUCUGGGGAGUCCCAGAUGGCGUGGGAGAAUGGGGACCAGAACCACAAAACACUGCCCAGUGGCAGCUGCUAUCCACUGAGUCGUCCCAAACCAUUUCAGAGGUGAAGAAAUUGAGACCCACCUCCCCCAAGUUGCAUGACAAGUGGCGGGCAGAGCAUCUGUGAACCCAGCUGCUGGGCCAGUGAGGCAUUCAGCACCUGACCGACGCCAGCCUGGAGUCUGCAGAGCCUCUGGCCCAGAUGGCCUGGCUGUUUCUACGCAUUGUGUGUCUGCAAAGAAACAGACUUACAGCAGAAGCAGAGCCGAGGUGGGAGCGAGCUGUCGGCCUCCAGGGGUCCCCGACGUUCUCGAUCCGUUAUCUCGAACCCCGCCCAGACGCCGUGACACGCCUGCCCGGCCGCUGGCUUCGCAAGCCCGGUGCUUUAGUUACCCGAAGCCACUGGCUGACCCAGAGAUCACAGGAUGCCCGGCCUGGAACGGCUGGCUUUCGGUCCCUUUAAUUGUGUCCCUCUGCCUGCUGAGCUAUCCGCAUUCUGAAAGCGACUUAUUUAUAUCUGCUCCUCGAGGCGGGCCCAGUGAGACGCCCGGCUGGCGGUGCCCUCGGCCCCUGGUCUGCGGCCAGCUAUUCGAACCGACUUGGAUUCUUAGAACAAAAUAAAACUGUCUCCGUUUCA
This is a long non-coding RNA of Pteropus alecto (black flying fox), 3417 nucleotides long. RefSeq lists it as uncharacterized. The record is from RefSeq and is a predicted model, not a curated record. Lineage: Eukaryota; Metazoa; Chordata; Mammalia; Chiroptera; Pteropodidae. The transcript has 2 exons.